Molecule: long non-coding RNA, 402 nt
Filed under: Pongo abelii (Sumatran orangutan)
Lineage: Eukaryota; Metazoa; Chordata; Mammalia; Primates; Hominidae
Description: lincRNA
Source: RNAcentral
GGAACUCCAGGUGCUGGGUCUUCCAGGAGCGCGCCUGCGCUGGAGGGUGACCACAGGCGGCCGGGCGAGAUGUCCUGUGCGCAGUCUUCAGCCCAGCAGCCGCCACCCAUAAGCUAUGAGGAGGAGUUUACGACCACCUGGACUACUACCACCUGCGUGACUUCCCGGCCUGCGGGGUCCGCGCAGCAAAGGCCUGACGCUGCUCGAGCAGGCGCUGCGCACCUACCGGCUGGCGCCUGGUAGGCAUGAGCGAAGGGUCUCCCAGAAGCUCCUCAAUGGCCGGCGCAAGUGCCAACCAGCGCCAGCUGAGCCUGGGAGUGAAGAAGCUGUUUCUUUACACAACUGUUAUCCCAUAAUGCCUGCUUCUGCUGCUACCACGGGCUCACCUAAAAGGCAACCAAA